This 492-nucleotide ribosomal RNA is filed under the name uncultured bacterium. Its description in RNAcentral is "partial 16S ribosomal RNA". It matches the Rfam family "Bacterial small subunit ribosomal RNA", at positions 29 to 507 of the family's 1533-position model. The record is from RNAcentral.
AGUGAACGCUGGCGGUAGGCCUAACACAUGCAAGUCGAACGGCAGCACAGUAAGAGCUUGCUCUUACGGGUGGCGAGUGGCGGACGGGUGAGGAAUACAUCUGAAUCUACUUUUUCGUGGGGGAUAACGUAGGGAAACUUACGCUAAUACCGCAUACGACCUACGGGUGAAAGCAGGGGAUCUUCGGACCUUGCGCGAUUGAAUGAGCCGAUGUCGGAUUAGCUAGUUGGCGGGGUAAAGGCCCACCAAGGCGACGAUCCGUAGCUGGUCUGAGAGGAUGAUCAGCCACACUGGAACUAAGACACGGUCCAGACUCCUACGGGAGGCAGCAGUGGGGAAUAUUGGACAAUGGGCGCAAGCCUGAUCCAGCCAUACCGCGUGGGUGAAGAAGGCCUUCGGGUUGUAAAGCCCUUUUGUUGGGAAAGAAAAGCAGCAGGUUAAUACCCCGCUGUUCUGACGGUACCCAAAGAAUAAGCACCGGCUAACUUCGUG